AGAGUUUGAUCCUGGCUCAGAUUGAACGCUAGCGGGAUGCUUUACACAUGCAAGUCGAACGGCAGCGCGAGAGAAGCUUGCUUUUCUUGGCGGCGAGUGGCGAACGGGUGAGUAAUAUAUCGGAACGUGCCCAGUAGCGGGGGAUAACUACGCGAAAGCGUGGCUAAUACCGCAUACGCCCUACGGGGGAAAGGGGGGGAUCGCAAGACCUCUCACUAUUGGAGCGGCCGAUAUCAGAUUAGCUAGUUGGUGGGGUAAAGGCCUACCAAGGCAACGAUCUGUAGCUGGUUUGAGAGGACGACCAGCCACACUGGGACUGAGACACGGCCCAGACUCCUACGGGAGGCAGCAGUGGGGAAUUUUGGACAAUGGGGGCAACCCUGAUCCAGCCAUCCCGCGUGUGCGAUGAAGGCCUUCGGGUUGUAAAGCACUUUUGGCAGGGAAGAAACGGCGCUGGUUAACACCUGGCGCAACUGACGGUACCUGCAGAAUAAGCACCGGCUAACUACGUGCCAGCCGCCGCGGUAAUAC
This 531-nucleotide ribosomal RNA is filed under the name uncultured bacterium. RNAcentral describes it as "bacterial SSU rRNA". It matches the Rfam family "Bacterial small subunit ribosomal RNA", at positions 8 to 526 of the family's 1533-position model. The record is from RNAcentral.